AACUUCCCCUAGUAACGGCGAGUGAAGAGGGAAAAGCCCAGCACCGAAGCCUGCGGCAGAUUUGCUGUUAGGCAAUGUGGUGUUUGGGUCGGCUCGUGGGACUGCCACUCCACUCGAAGUCCAGCAUUGAGUAUGGUCACUGGAUUUGGCCCAGAGAGGGUGAAAGGCCCGUACGGGUGGAGGUUCAGACAUGUGAGGCGGUUCACCAGGUCGACCUUAGAGUCGGGUUGUUUGGGAAUGCAGCCCAAAGCGGGUGGUAAACUCCAUCCAAGGCUAAAUACAAGCACGAGUCCGAUAGCGAACAAGUACCGUGAGGGAAAGUUGAAAAGUACUCUGAAGAGAGAGUAAACAGUACGUGAAACCGCAUGCAGGUAAACGGGUGGCGUCAAGCUGCAAGCCCGGAGGAUUCAGCCGGUUAGGUUGUUGUGUAUGCGCCUGCCGCAUCUAUCAGUCGGAGUAUGAUGUGAUAGUCCACCGGUAAACGGUGGGCCCGGCCGCAAGGUUGGGAUAUGUGUACCGGGUGGGUGCCGGAGCAUGCUAUCCAUCUAGGGACUGUCUAGCCGGUGCACUUUCUCUGUGGUGAACACCACGACCGGUGGUAUUGCCAGUCUGCUGUGUCCAAGUCGUACUUGGUAGGUCCUUGUGGCCAACUGGGUGCGAUCACAGGCAAACUCAGUAAACGGCGUAGAGGUGCUUCGGUACCUUUGCGUGCUAUCGGCUACUGGUUGUCAACGGGCCUGCUCGAUGCUUUGUUUGUUGUAACCGGCAUCGGGUGGUCUGGUGGGGCAUGGUGGUAAGAAUAACUGUGCAAGGCACCGGAGUUAUCGGCCUCAAAUGCAUCCUGCGUCCAUGUUACAAGUGGUCUUUGGUGGCGGUGUCGUUGCUGUCUGCCCGGUGUUGGGUCUGAUUGUCGUGUCGCCUGCACAAAGUAGGCCCGGCAGUGGCUUGACUCGGGAUGGGCAGUGGAUGAUGUUGCUAGCGCAGGAUGUGGUGGGCCUAAUAGUCAGUGGUGUAGUGGUAGACGAGCUACCCGACCCGUCUUGAAACACGGACCAAGGAGUUUAACAUGUAUGCAAGUCAAUGGGCGUUACGAAACCCAAGGGCGCAGUGAAAGUGAAGCUUCGACUUGUCUCGGAGUAAGGUGAGAUCCUGCUGUUACUCGCAUCAGCCUAAUGUCAGCAUCAGGCUUAAGAGCAGUGGGCGCAUCACCGGCCCGUCCCAUGAUGUGGUCAUCGGAUGUCUGUGGUUGCUGUUGCCUUGUGUGGCGGUGGCCGCAGUGCCGGUGCGUCAUCGGGGCGGUGCAUGAGCAUACAUGUUGAGACCCGAAAGAUGGUGAACUAUGCUUGCGUAGGUUGAAGCCAGAGGAAACUCUGGUGGAGGACCGCAGCGAUUCUGACGUGCAAAUCGAUCGUCAAACGUGAGCAUAGGGGCGA
Molecule: ribosomal RNA, 1433 nt
Filed under: Acanthotaenia sp. n. JB-2019
Lineage: Eukaryota; Metazoa; Platyhelminthes; Cestoda; Proteocephalidea; Proteocephalidae
Description: partial large subunit ribosomal RNA
Rfam family: Eukaryotic large subunit ribosomal RNA
Source: RNAcentral